Molecule: long non-coding RNA, 976 nt
Filed under: Canis lupus familiaris (dog)
Lineage: Eukaryota; Metazoa; Chordata; Mammalia; Carnivora; Canidae
Description: lncRNA (ENSCAFG00845017236.1)
Source: RNAcentral
AUGAAAUUUUUGGUUGUUGUUGUUUUGGUCCUUGAACGUGAUUUUAGCAGCGGGUAACGUGUCCUCACUCCUCUCGGGCUCCCUCGGAGGGUUUUCAGAGAGGUCUCAUUGCAUCCAUUUUCUCAGAUCCUCUCCUUCUUUCAGGGGAAGGACCUGGGGCCCUGCAGGCGCCCCGGGGCGCGAAGGCGGCGGCGCGGGUUCUCGGGGGUCUGCGCGGUGGCCGCGGGGGCUCCCGGGCGGCGGCGGCGGCGGUCCUCCGGGCCUGGACGCCGUGAGGGGAGUAAGCGGAUUUCCCCAGCAAGAUCUCCAUGUACAGCUACAUCUUUAGGGCUGCUCGGGUUAAUAUAUGUCGUCAGAGGCUCCUCACGCCAAUCCCGGGGCGGCAGGGGCGGUGCCUCUCGCUCUCCGCAAUAAAACUUUUUGAUGUUCUCGUUGCUAAUUGUCGAAGUCCUCUUCCAGGAUUGGCUGCCCCUUCACAACCAUGAGAUAAUUAAAACUGGUGGGGGGGGGGGGGGCGGGUUAAAAAAACUUUUUUAUCAGUCAGAGGUUAAUGCAAGUGUUUAGCAGAUGCUUUACUAUUAAAUUAUCCGCCACCCCCCCCCCCCCAAGUCUCAAAUCUUGAAGAAUCUCAAACCAGGGACACCAGCCCCGGCGACGACGACCCUGGGCGACUACAAAGCGCAGGCAACCUCGAUUCCCCGAAUUGGUGGAGUGGCCGGCAUCGGUGUCCCCCUGGUUUCACUGGCCUGUUUGAAGGUGCAGAUCAUUCUCCGGGAAGUACAGCUGAAACCAGUCCUCCUCUGCCCUCUGGGGGCCUUCAUUUUCCCAGCCUACAUCUGCUUGUGACUCCAGAAAGACAGACUUCAGAUUGGCCAAGGUGGGGAUUGACUCCCAGGAGCUGUCCAACAACAGUGGCUAGACUUGGUUCUGGAGUCUCCUAGUUGCAAGAAACAAGACCAUUAGGCCAUGUCCUCAG